RNAcentral lists this ribosomal RNA (498 nucleotides) under uncultured bacterium. Its description in RNAcentral is "partial 16S ribosomal RNA". It matches the Rfam family "Bacterial small subunit ribosomal RNA", at positions 30 to 523 of the family's 1533-position model. The record is from RNAcentral.
AUUGAACGCUGGCGGCAUGCUUUACACAUGCAAGUCGAACGGUAACAGGCCGCAAGGUGCUGACGAGUGGCGAACGGGUGAGUAAUGCAUCGGAACGUGCCCAGUCGUGGGGGAUAACGCAGCGAAAGCUGUGCUAAUACCGCAUACGAUCUAUGGAUGAAAGCGGGGGACCGUAAGGCCUCGCGCGAUUGGAGCGGCCGAUGUCAGAUUAGGUAGUUGGUGGGGUAAAGGCUCACCAAGCCAACGAUCUGUAGCUGGUCUGAGAGGACGACCAGGCACACUGGGACUGAGACACGGCGCAGACUCCUACGGGGGGCAGCAGUGGGGAAUUUUGGACAAUGGGCGCAAGCCUGAUCCAGCAAUGCCGCGUGCAGGAAGAAGGCCUUCGGGUUGUAAACUGCUUUUGUACGGAACGAAACGGCGAGCUCUAAUACAGUUUGCUAAUGACGGUACCGUAAGAAUAAGCACCGGCUAACUACGUGCCAGCAGCCGCGGUAA